Small nucleolar RNA from Megalobrama amblycephala (Wuchang bream), 128 nucleotides. RefSeq annotates it as small nucleolar RNA SNORA63. The transcript has a single exon. NCBI's taxonomy places the organism in Eukaryota, Metazoa, Chordata, Actinopteri, Cypriniformes, Xenocyprididae. The record is from RefSeq and is a predicted model, not a curated record.
CAGCAGGUCAUCUACAGAUCAGCUGUGUCAGUGCUGAUUGGUCGUUCCCCCUGCUGAAAUUAAACUGUUUCCUACUAUCCCUGUGCGUUUGCAUCCCACAGCUCACAGGGACGCUUGGUCUCAGACAU